UGGUGGAGUGAUUUGUCUGCUCAAUUGCGAUAACGAACGAGACUCUGUCCUGCUCAAUUAGUGUCGUCUUCUUUUUUGAGACGAUUAUUCUUCUUAGAGGGACUGGUGGCGCUUAGCCACACGAGAUAGAGCCAUAACA
This 139-nucleotide ribosomal RNA is filed under the name uncultured eukaryote. Its description in RNAcentral is "partial 18S ribosomal RNA". It matches the Rfam family "Eukaryotic small subunit ribosomal RNA", at positions 1299 to 1458 of the family's 1831-position model. The record is from RNAcentral.